UACAGAGGGUGCGAGCGUUGUUCGGAAUUACUGGGCGUAAAGCGCGCGCAGGCGGCCUUUUAAGUCCAUCGGUGAAAUGCCGGGGCUCAACCCCGUUGCAGGCCGAGGAUACUGGGAGGCUGGAGACACGUAGAGGCAAGCGGAAUUCCGGGUGUAGCGGUGAAAUGCGUAGAUAUCUGGAGGAACACCGGUGGCGAAGGCGGCAUCCUGGACCGACACUGACACUGAGGAGCGAAAGCCAGGGGAGCAAACGGG
RNAcentral lists this ribosomal RNA (255 nucleotides) under uncultured bacterium. RNAcentral describes it as "partial 16S ribosomal RNA". It matches the Rfam family "Bacterial small subunit ribosomal RNA", at positions 524 to 776 of the family's 1533-position model. The record is from RNAcentral.